This is a long non-coding RNA of Musca domestica (house fly), 885 nucleotides long. RefSeq lists it as uncharacterized. The record is from RefSeq and is a predicted model, not a curated record. NCBI's taxonomy places the organism in Eukaryota, Metazoa, Arthropoda, Insecta, Diptera, Muscidae. The transcript is spliced from 2 exons.
AGUUUUUGGGUUUUUUUUUUUCUUAAACGCUAUCACUUUUUAUCUCUAAAUUUACAAUACAACUUUAUAGAGCAUGCCGUCUGUUUUGUUUUAACUUUUCAAAAUUAAUAAUAGGGAAAUUGUUUUUAUCAAUGUUUUUAGUUUUUUUUUCUUCACUUAAACACUAUCACUUUUCUUUCUAAACUUACAAUAAAACUUUGUAGAGCAUGCCGUCUCCUGUUGAUUCUCCGUAUUCCUUUUUGCUUCCGCUACUAAGGGGGUGUCUUCAAUCUUUUGAGCCGGCUGGAUGUCGUUGACUCUCUCGUACUCCACAAUUUUUUCCCACAGCUUUUGGGGAUUUAGUGUUGAUUUACAGCCUUUAUAGGGUGUCUUCUUCAACAGGUUAUUGAUGUUUUUAGUUACCAGUACGCAGCUUUAUGAGGUGCCUUCUUCCACAGGUUUUGAUGUUUUUAGUUAGCAGUUUGCAGCUUAUGAGGUGCCUUUAUUAAUUUGCAGCCGUUUGGGUGCUUUAAUUUUUAGUUGACAGUUUGCAGCUUCAUGAGGUGCCUUUAUUAACUUUGCAGCCGUUUGGGUGCUUUUAAUUUUUCGUUGGGCGCCAAUUAAACAUAACGUUCUUUUUCGAGUGACAAAAUGGGACUAACUUUAUUUUUCCUUUAUUCUUAAAAUUAAGUUUUGUUGGACAAUGUAUUUAGUGCAACGUUAGCACUUUUGAUUUUAUUAUUUCUUAGAGUUAGGUUUCUUAAAAUGUAAGCAUUUAUCUGUUGUUUAUACGAAUGAAUGACAUGAAUGCAUUGUAAGCAUUUUGCAAGCAUAUUUAAGUGCCAUCGAACUUGCACGCGCAACAGAAACAGAAAUAAAGAAGUUAACGUUAACUUAUAUUCUUGA